This 1497-nucleotide ribosomal RNA is filed under the name Alkanindiges sp. A36-1. RNAcentral's name for it is "bacterial SSU rRNA". It matches the Rfam family "Bacterial small subunit ribosomal RNA". Lineage: Bacteria; Pseudomonadati; Pseudomonadota; Gammaproteobacteria; Moraxellales; Moraxellaceae. The record is from RNAcentral.
AUUAGAGUUUGAUCAUGGCUCAGAUUGAACGCUGGCGGCAGGCUUAACACAUGCAAGUCGAACGGGGUGAUGGUGCUUGCACAUCACUUAGUGGCGAACGGGUGAGUAAUGCCUAGGAAUCUGCCCAUUAGCGGGGGAUAACGUGUGGAAACGCACGCUAAUACCGCAUACGCCCUACGGGGGAAAGCAGGGGAUCUUCGGACCUUGCACUAAUGGAUGAGCCUAGGUCAGAUUAGCUAGUUGGUGGGGUAAAGGCCCUACCAAGGCGACGAUCUGUAGCGGGUCUGAGAGGAUGAUCCGCCCACACUGGGACUGAGACACGGCCCAGACUCCUACGGGAGGCAGCAGUGGGGAAUAUUGGACAAUGGGGGAAACCUGAUCCAGCCAUGCCGCGUGUGUGAAGAAGGCCUUUUGGUUGUAAAGCACUUUAAGCGAGGAGGAGGCUACCCUGACUAAUAUUCAGGAGUAGUGGACGUUACUCGCAGAAUAAGCACCGGCUAACUCUGUGCCAGCAGCCGCGGUAAUACAGAGGGUGCGAGCGUUAAUCGGAAUUACUGGGCGUAAAGCGCGCGUAGGCGGUUUAUUAAGUCGGAUGUGAAAUCCCUGAGCUUAACUUAGGAAUUGCAUUCGAUACUGGUAAGCUAGAGUAUGGGAGAGGAAGGUAGAAUUCCAGGUGUAGCRGUGAAAUGCGUAGAGAUCUGGAGGAAUACSRUGGCGAAGCACCUUCUGCCUAAWACGACGCUGAGUGCGAAAGCAUGGGAGCAAACAGGAUUAGAUACCCUGGUAGUCCAUGCCGUAAACGAUGUCAACUAGCCGUUGGGGGAUUUGAUCCUUUAGUGGCGCACUAACGCGAUAAGUUGACCGCCUGGGAGUACGGUCGCAAGACUAAAACUCAAAUGAAUUGACGGGGGCCCGCACAAGCGGUGGAGCAUGUGGUUUAAUUCGAUGCAACGCGAAGAACCUUACCUGGUCUUGACAUAGUGAGAAUCCUGCAGAGAUGCGGGAGUGCUUCGGGAAUUCACAUACAGGUGCUGCAUGGCUGUCGUCAGCUCGUGUCGUGAGAUGUUGGGUUAAGUCCCGCAACGAGCGCAACCCUUUUCCUUAUUUGCCAGCACUUCGGGUGGGAACUUUAAGGAUACUGCCAGUGACAAACUGGAGGAAGGCGGGGACGACGUCAAGUCAUCAUGGCCCUUACGACCAGGGCUACACACGUGCUACAAUGGUCGGUACAAAGGGUUGCUACUCCGCGAGGAGAUGCUAAUCUCAAAAAGCCGAUCGUAGUCCGGAUUGGAGUCUGCAACUCGACUCCAUGAAGUCGGAAUCGCUAGUAAUCGCGGAUCAGAAUGCCGCGGUGAAUACGUUCCCGGGCCUUGUACACACCGCCCGUCACACCAUGGGAGUUUGUUGCACCAGAAGUAGGUAGUCUAACCCUCGGGAGGACGCUUACCACGGUGUGGCCGAUGACUGGGGUGAAGUCGUAACAAGGUAGCCGUAAAU